CCGUACUGAAAUGGUCAUUCAUGAUCCUCACCGUCAGACCCCUCUCGCCCAUCUGAUAAGGGUGAGGUCGAUGGUUCAAAUCCAUCUGGGCCCA
This 94-nucleotide transfer RNA is filed under the name Actinomycetota bacterium. Its description in RNAcentral is "Actinobacteria bacterium tRNA-OTHER". Lineage: Bacteria; Bacillati; Actinomycetota. The record is from RNAcentral.